This 481-nucleotide ribosomal RNA is filed under the name uncultured bacterium. Its description in RNAcentral is "partial 16S ribosomal RNA". It matches the Rfam family "Bacterial small subunit ribosomal RNA", at positions 28 to 507 of the family's 1533-position model. The record is from RNAcentral.
GAUGAACGCUGGCGGCGUGCUUAACACAUGCAAGUCGAACGAAGCAUUUAAGACAGAUUACUUCGGUUUGAAGUCUUUUAUGACUGAGUGGCGGACGGGUGAGUAACGCGUGGGUAACCUGCCUCAUACAGGGGGAUAGCAGCUGGAAACGGCUGGUAAUACCGCAUAAGCGCACAGUACCACAUGGUACAGUGUGAAAAACUCCGGUGGUAUGAGAUGGACCCGCGUCUGAUUAGCUUGUUGGCGGGGUAACGGCCCACCAAGGCGACGAUCAGUAGCCGACCUGGGAGGGUGACCUGCCACAUUGGGACUGAGACACGGCCCAGACUCCUACGGGAGGCAGCAGUGGGGAAUAUUGCACAAUGGAGGAAACUCGGAUGCAGCGACGCCGCGUGAGUGAAGAAGUAGUUCGCUAUGUAAAGCUCUAUCAGCAGAGAAGAUAGUGACGGUACCUGACUAAGAAGCUCCGGCUAAAUACGUG